Molecule: non-coding RNA, 267 nt
Filed under: Anaerosporobacter mobilis
Lineage: Bacteria; Bacillati; Bacillota; Clostridia; Lachnospirales; Lachnospiraceae
Description: T-box sequence
Rfam family: T-box leader
About the family: Uncharged tRNA acts as the effector for transcription antitermination of genes in the T-box leader family. T-boxes are found upstream of many aminoacyl-tRNA synthetase genes and some amino acid biosynthetic genes usually in Gram-positive bacteria.
Source: RNAcentral
AAUAAAGCAAUGACGAGGAGGAGUACAUACUCACCUAAAGCAAAGAGAGAAGAUGGUUGGUGUGAAUCUUCAUGAAGGAAGUAUGGAAGUAGCCUUUGAGCUGUGAACUGAAAGAAACGUAGUGAGUUUUAAGUAAGCUUCAACGGAAUAUUCCACCGUUAUAAGGAAAACAGUAUCAGCUGUAUAUACAUAUGCAACCCGUACUGGUAGAGUGCAAAGCGCAAGCUUUGAAAUUAGGUGGUAACACGGAGUAUAUUCGCCCUAAGU